RNAcentral lists this ribosomal RNA (1079 nucleotides) under Burkholderia ubonensis. Its description in RNAcentral is "bacterial LSU rRNA". It matches the Rfam family "Bacterial large subunit ribosomal RNA", at positions 176 to 1297 of the family's 2925-position model. The record is from RNAcentral. Lineage: Bacteria; Pseudomonadati; Pseudomonadota; Betaproteobacteria; Burkholderiales; Burkholderiaceae.
GAAGCGAACGCGGUGAACUGAAACAUCUAAGUAACCGCAGGAAAAGAAAUCAACCGAGAUUCCCAAAGUAGUGGCGAGCGAAAUGGGAUGAGCCUUGUACUCUUUAUUUGUAUUGUUAGCCGAACGCUCUGGAAAGUGCGGCCAUAGCAGGUGAUAGCCCUGUAGGCGAAAACAGUAUGAAAGAACUAGGUGUACGACAAGUAGGGCGGGACACGUGAAAUCCUGUCUGAAGAUGGGGGGACCAUCCUCCAAGGCUAAAUACUCGUGAUCGACCGAUAGUGAACCAGUACCGUGAGGGAAAGGCGAAAAGAACCCCGGGAGGGGAGUGAAAUAGAUCCUGAAACCGCAUGCAUACAAACAGUCGGAGCCUCUUCGGGGGUGACGGCGUACCUUUUGUAUAAUGGGUCAGCGACUUACGUUCAGUAGCAAGCUUAACCGUAUAGGGCAGGCGUAGCGAAAGCGAGUCCGAAUAGGGCGUUCAGUUGCUGGGCGUAGACCCGAAACCAGGUGAUCUAUCCAUGGCCAGGAUGAAGGUGCGGUAACACGUACUGGAGGUCCGAACCCACUAACGUUGAAAAGUUAGGGGAUGAGCUGUGGAUAGGGGUGAAAGGCUAAACAAACCUGGAAAUAGCUGGUUCUCUCCGAAAACUAUUUAGGUAGUGCCUCGUGUCUCACCUUCGGGGGUAGAGCACUGUCAUGGUUGGGGGGUCUAUUGCAGAUUACCCCGCCAUAGCAAACUCCGAAUACCGAAGAGUGCAAUCACGGGAGACAGACAUCGGGUGCUAACGUCCGGUGUCAAGAGGGAAACAACCCAGACCGCCAGCUAAGGUCCCCAAAUAUGGCUAAGUGGGAAACGAAGUGGGAAGGCUAAAACAGUCAGGAGGUUGGCUUAGAAGCAGCCACCCUUUAAAGAAAGCGUAAUAGCUCACUGAUCGAGUCGUCCUGCGCGGAAGAUGUAACGGGGCUAAGCCAUAUACCGAAGCUGCGGAUGCGAGCUAGUCUCGCAUGGUAGGAGAGCGUUCCGUAAGCCUGCGAAGGUGCCUUGUAAAGGGUGCUGGAGGUAUCGGAAGUGCGAAUGC